RNAcentral lists this long non-coding RNA (7680 nucleotides) under Homo sapiens (human). RNAcentral describes it as "HSALNT0324105". The record is from RNAcentral. Lineage: Eukaryota; Metazoa; Chordata; Mammalia; Primates; Hominidae.
AUUUGCUGACUGGUCGAUGCUAGAUGAUCUUGAGACCCUGUGCUGAGGACUGGAGAACUACAGGAAAGGAGCAGUAUCUCUGAAUUAUCGUGUGGAAGGUCACUUGUCUAGCCCCUGAUGACUGUGAGUUGAACAAAUUAGAGACUGGAGUGUUUUGGGUAGCCUUGCUAUAUGGCAUGGUCGAAGACGGUGCUUCGCAGGUGAUUUACAACCCUCCUACCAUUUACUCUGUCUUCAUUUCAAGCAGUAUAACCUAUAAUUUCCUAAUCUUCAGCAGAAUAGGAAAAGGGGCUCAAAGCCACAAACACACACGCUUCCUUUCAAUGUACCUUUGUUGCUCAGCCACAGUGGCGAGUUCACGCGCCUGGCAAGACCUCUCCCUAUUUGGGCAUUUUGUGAAUACAGAAGAAUGGGCGCCCUGGUGUGACCCAACAUCAGAAUCCAAAACAUGGCAUCUUUACCUAGCCCUUUUCGCUUCUUUUAGAUCAUUCAAUAAACAUAAUCUGUUUUCUUUCAAAAUAACAUGGUUAUCUAAUUCCCUUCAUUAGCAGCUAGCAAAAGAGGCCCUGGGCUUCCCGUGAGCUAAUUCACUGGGUCCCUGAGGUCGUUGCGGGCUUUCCCUCUCACUCUUGCAACAGACACAAUCUCACUUCUUUAAUGUAAAGUAUGGUUUUUCUGUCGAAAUGUGCUUCCUGUUUUCUUUAUCGUAACUUACAGGCAUGAUUGCCUGGGUCUUCUCUCAUUAUUCCCAGUCCACUGCCUCUUCAUAUUUAGUGGUACUUCUGUCUUACUGGUCCCUGGAAAUUUAUCUCAGAUCAUUUCCUUUUGGGUCUAUCUCUUCUUUAAGAGAAAUAAUUUUAAAGUCAAAGCUCCAUAAUACAGAGAUCUGUUCUCUUUCCCACCAUCUGUUUUCUGAACCUCCCCUCCUGGUUCAAGCCUCUGUAGGAUAAUUUGAACACAAACCAUUGACUGCCAACUGAAAUCGAACAAGAUAAUGUCCAAUUUGCCCUUUUUUCUCUCUGAUUUGUCCCAAUGUUUACAUUUCUCCAUCAAUCAAUGAACAAAUCACUUUGGUACAGUGUGCCAGUAGCUUUGAGAGGAGCACAGAAGCAAUACAAGCAAGCUCACCAGUAACUUAUGAGGCUCGCUUACCCAAAGCCAUUCAAGAAUAAGACAGUAGAUAACACCAGCCACCUGGUGUAUAUAGAAAGUGCAUUCAGAGGGCCGGGCACGGUGGCUCACGCCUGUAAUCCCAGCACUUUGGGAGGCCGAGGCGGGCAGAUCACGAGGUCAGGAGAUCGAGACCAUCCUGGCUAACACGGUGAAACCCCGUCUCUACUAAAAAUGCAAAAAAUUAGCUGGGCGUGGUGGUGGGCGCCUGUAGUCCCAGCUACUCGGGAGGCUGAGGCAGGAGAAUGGCAUGAACCCGGGAGGCGGAGCUUGCAGUGAGCCGAGAUCGCGCCACUGCACUCCAGGCUGGGCGACAGAGCGAGACUCUGUCUCAAAAAAAAAAAAAAGAAAAAAGAAAGUGCAUUCAGAAUUGGGGAGGGGAGAGAUCAAUGUGUGUUAGAGCCAAGGAAACAUUUAGUAAAGAUGGAAUUUAGCCCUUAAGGACUGUCAGGCCAGAGCAAUAGGAAGUACAAACAUUUCAUAUGUAGAGAAUAACACGAACAAGGCACAAGAGCAGAAAUAUGAGUAACAGCCUCAGUGGGUCCUAUUCGUUAUGCACCUAUCAUGUCCCUUGCACUAUGCCGGGCCCUUUGCACUCAUUAUAUACGAUGCUCACAGCAAUCCUGAGAUUGUGAGGCGGGUAUUUUACAAAUACAAGAAGUCAGUUUUAGAGAAGUACUAAAUGGCAGACUCAGGAUUCAUGUCUGCACUUCAUUCACUGCGUAGGAAGGUGAGGGUGGUUAAGGAGGUGCCACUCUGGGAGCAGAAGGCAGUCACUGGAGCAGAUCAGUGGAGCUACGUUACGGAGAUCCGGGAUGGUCCGUGAGGAUGCUGGGCCUCACCUGGUAAGCAACAGGGACUGCUGUAGAAGCUUUAGCACAGAAAUAGGAUGACAAACUUUAGUCAGACAAAAUCUGAGUUCAAGGCCGUGUUCUGUGUUAGCUGUGUGACUGGGAACCACCGUUAAACCUGCUGAGAUUGUUUCCUCCUCUAUAAAAUGUGUUCAACAGCAAUAUCAAUGUAUAACAUUGAAAGGCUUAAAUGAGAUUUUACUAAAGCACCUGAGAUAUAGUUAGCAUUUACUAUAUGAUAGAGGUUGUUGCUGUUACUACUGCUACUACCACCACCACUGCUACCACAACAGCACUUAAGGAAGGAUGAUAAUCUGGAGAAAAACAGCUAACAGAUAUUUCGUGAAGACAUGAAAUGAGAUGGCAUAGAUAGAUAGAUAGAUAGAUAGAUAGAUAGAUAGAGUUAUAUGCCAUUUGGUUAUAUAUACAUAAUCAAAACUUGACUCUGGGAGUAUAGAUGAAUAAAGGUGAAUUAGAAUCUAGUAUAAAGAGAGAAGAUCGGAGAAUGAGGAUUGACACAUCUGGGGCACCCACAGUUGGGGAGCGGGACACGGGAGAGAGUCAGUGACAGACACAAGGAAAAUGCAGAGGAAGAGGUAAGAUGGUCACGUAGACCACAGCAGUCAGGUAACAGAAGAGGUUCCUCAAAAGGCUAGGGAGGUCUACUGUGCCCAGGGCUGCUGUGGGGAGAAAAGAUUGAGGACUAGGAAAAGGCUUGUGCAGUUGGGGCAGUGACAACAUGGAACACAGACUGGGAGGAACCAGGUGGGAAUAAAAGACACUGGCCACAGCCACAGGCACUGCUCAUUCAUCUGAGGUGUAAGUAUAGAGAGAGAACUCGGCUGUGGCUUGGAAGUAACAGCAAGACAAAGAAGGAGGUUAUUUUUAGUUCUUGGAGAGGCCAAUACCGCUGGUAAUCAUGAGCGAGCUUCAGUUCAUCUCUACCCCUUACUAUGGUGCAACUCCUCAUGGACUGGUUCCUGAGCCUGCACCCUCUUAGGGUGCAGGUUAGUCCUGCACUUAGUCUGGCUUCUGUUAACUUGUUUUCUCUUUCAGGUCUCACUGUUGCUAACCCCACUCAUCAACUUGAUCUGUUUGCCCCCAAUCCCACCAUUUUGCAUGACAUUAUGGAUCCUCUGAUCUUUAACAAAUCCAUCCAAGAUUGUCUGUUUCUUCUUCUAAGGUGUCACCAGGAAUGAAGAUUCUUUCACCUAAUUUAUUUUUUUCUGGUUUCACACGUGUCUGAAAAAAUAAUAGCAAUUAUUAUUAUUAUCAUUGUAGGAUUCAUUUCACUCCUCUCAAACACAUUCAAAAAGUCUCUUCAUCUCUUCCAUCAUGGUGAUGCUCAACUGUUACCCAACUAUCCAACUGUAUCUUGGAGUUUUGUAAUUCCAUCAUGAGUUGUACUCAACUGUUAUCCAACAUAUCUUGGAGCAUGCACCAGGAUGCUCCCUGACACAGCUCACUUUGCAAGUAAUUCUUAGACACACACUUUCUCCACCAGGCCUGUCUAGUUGAAGUUCUCUAUAUCCCUGCCCCCCUCCCCACCCUGGUUAAGCAUAGGACUUCCAUGGUUACAUCCCAUUUAUUCCUUUCCCAAACAUGCUUAAUGCAUUUCAUCUCCAGUUACAAACAUCGUCUGCUAAUGAACAAUGUAGAUAGUUACCAUGUUGUAUAAAUAGUUACUUAUUUCCCUUCGUUGUUGGUUUUAUCCAAUAAACUAGCCCGAUCAGCUUCAUUUUAUAUCACCUUAUCUCAUACAGAUGAGAAACUGUAUGUAUUUCAGCCUGUCUAAACUGGAGGUAACGCUAGACUGCAGUAUCCCUGCACAGUGUCGUAUUAGAAAUGGCACCCUAUAAAUUUUUUAUGAGUUAAUAAUGAUUGUGAUCCCAUUCCUAUUUUCUACAAGUUCUUCUGUUAUGGUGGCAAUUAAAUAGCCUCACCUUCCUUUCACUUUCUGCAAACCUGCUGCAAGUCAUCAUUAACUUUCUUAAUUGGUAGCGGCUCUGAAUUCCAGUCUUUCAGAGUUCCCGUAAACAGCAUCUUUCUUAAUACUUAUGUCAUAAUGUUUUUCUCCUUUCCUUGCAUUUCAUUCUGCCUUUGGGCAGGAACAGCAUCAUUUCCUGCUCUUCUGGGGUUUCAACACUGACUGCAAAGCACCCUUGCUCAUCUCACUGGGAGAUUCUGCAGCCAAGCAGAGAUUUGCAUAAAGCCCAUCCACCCUUCACCAGCACAGGAUACGCAGACUUAACUGCAGGGACUCUUGGUGACUAGUCUCUGUGGUGCACACUCUCCACCCUACCACCAAAAAGGUCCCCAGUACCCUAAAAGGAACUAUGUACUCAAAUAUCACCUCAAAUAAGAUGAGGUCUUUCUGAGAGAAAAGAGAUGUUGAUGCACGUGACGGGGAGGGCAUAGGAGAGGGUUGAUAUAAAAUGCAAUUACAGCCUCUUAUGCUUUCCAAAGUGGGGGAUGAUUCAAUGAUUCCUGACUGGUCCACAGCCAUAUAUCAAUUGAGGUUAUAAUACUAAUUUGAAUUGCAAAUCUCUGAAAAGAAGGGGACAAGCUAAGGAGAUAAAAUUUAACAGGGUGAGUCCUGAAUUUAGAUUUAAACAAACUCCACAAGUAUAAGAAGGCAGAGGCUGGCAACAGUACUUGCUGUCAUGUUUAGUCGGCCACUGGUCAGUCUGAGACAGCAGUGGGUGUGAUCGUGUAGCAGCUAUGGAAAGCUUAUGCUGCAUUUAAUAAUAAUAGUCAUACUUUAAAGCAUGUUUCAGUUAUGAAUUCAUUCUGACCAGAAAAGUAACUUGCACUAGCUUAACAGUCAAAUAGCAAGAAGCAUAGAGAAGUGGCCGCUUGCUGUGCUUCAGCAGCUCAACAGUGUCUCUAUUCUCUUAGCCUCUUCCUCCUGCUUGCCACCUCUCAGUCACAAGACGGCUGCUGCGACUCAGGCUCAUGUCCCAAUUCAAGGCAGCAAGAAGGCCAUGGAGCGGCACCUGCCAGGUAUGUCCCUUUCCCAGGCAUCCCCAGCAGAUUUCUCACUGUCUGAAACUGCAUCCCACGGCGUUCUUAGGUGCGAGGCUGGUCUGGAGAGUCAAUGCUUGGGUUUUCCAAUACCUGCAUGGGACAUGGGCAAGAUGGAAGGGAGUUGGGUUUAGGAAACCAGUAGUGCCAGCCCUUUACUCGUAUCAUAUCUGAUCCCCACAGCAACCCUGAGGAGUAGCUAUUUAUCAUCCUUAUUGAGCAAAUGAAGAAAAUCAGAACCAGCAACAUCAAGAAAAAAUGAGGAAAGACAUACAUUAGUAAAUAAUAAAGCCAGGGUUCCAAUUCAGAUCAGGUUGAAUCCAAAAUUCCUCUCCCUGCCAUUAUAACGCAUCACAGUGUUCAGGUCAUGUGGGUCUGGGAAGGAUGAAUCAUAUUCAACUAUCCCACCACGUUUUUGGCCAUUUUUUAAAAACUAAAGUAUAACACACAUCUUGUUAUGUUAACACUGACAUCUUGAGAAUAUUAAAUCUUCCAAUCCAUGAACAUAGACUGUUUUUACAUUUAUUUGGUUUCUUCUUUGAUUUAUUUCAACAAAGCUUUGUAGUUUUCACAGUAUAAGUUUUGUACAUCUUUGUUAAAUUUACUUCUAAGUAUUUUAGAAUUUUUAUCUUAAGUGAAAUUACUUUCUUAAUUUCAUUUUUGGUUUGCUCAUUGCUACUGUAUACAAUACAAUUAAUAUUUGUACAUUGCUCUUAAUCCUGUAACCUUGCCGGACCUUAUUCAUUUUAAGUUUGUUCUUUGAAUAUGUGAAACAUUAAAAAGAUUUUAAAAGCCAGAACUAUACACAAAGGUAUUGUCCUUGUAAUUUUAUAUCUGAUUGGAAGAAUUCUCCACAGACUAGCUUCUGGCGAUGUACUUUUCAAACCUUGUUUUUCUCCACUACCCAUAUAUUUUCAUGCGAAUUCUGGGUACUAGGAGAUACAGUCAUACCACAGUAUGACCUCUGGUCCUGGACUUUAGUGUCACAAUGCUGUUUGAGUUAGUCAGUAAGCCAUAGGAGUAUUCCUGGAAGUCAUUUCUACACUGGGGUGCCCAGUAAUAACUUAACCAUGUGUUGAAGUUACUGAAAACCACAUCAUUAUAACCUACUCCACCAAAACUAAAUAUAGCUAUAACUCAAUUUCCCCUUAGCUGGGUCUCCAAAAUGCCCAGUAACACCUGACGCAAGGGGAUGUGAUGGAAGGGAGGCUGAAGUGAAGGUACAGCAGACUUAACUAGUUGUAGUAAAGAUACUUUACCUCUGAACAUUUACGAAACAUAUGACCAUGUGAACACAAUUCUGGGUCCCCUCUGGGGCCUCGGAAGAAGGUGUCAGUGCUAGUGAGGGGCUCUAAAAGUGAAAACUUCAUUAAAUUCAUUGCAAAUCCACCUUUCUACUCCAAUUCUCAGUUGUGUUCCUUUAUUUGCAAAAUACAAAUAAUAUUUGCUUUGCCUAUUUGAAAGGUUAUUGUGAUAUAUAAUGAAAUUUGUGUUUUUUUUAAAUUUAUAUUAUUAUUUAAUGCCUGAUUAGAGUUUUUGUGUAUUUCAUGCGUUAAGAGUUUUACAUGUAUUUUCCAAAAUUGGCUACAAUAAUACCUCCCUUCCCACAUUCUCUUCUUAUGGUGACUCUGACACUCCUCCACUGAGAGGACACUUUGCUCCCUCUCUUUGAAUUUGGAUGUCGUCUUGUGACCGCAGCAGAAGUGAUACUAUGACUCCAAGAGCUACGUCAUAAGUGGCAAUACAGCUUUCACUUGGCUCUCUUGAAAUCAAACUGCUGUGAGGAAAUUCAAGCCAUAGAGAAGCCCACAAAAGGAACAGACAGCUCCCUCCAACUUCCCAGCCAUGUGAGGGAGCCACUUUGAAAGUGGUCUCUCCAGGUCCCAUUAAGCUGACAGGGUGGAACACAGACAAGCUGUAGAUCCAUGAGCAAAAGAAAUGACUAUUGUUGUUUUAAGCCUUUAGAUUUUGGACUGGUGUAUUAUGCAGCAACUGAUAACUGAUACACCAUCCCAGCUUUCCAGUGAAAUCCCUCUCCACUCACGCCAAAAUGAGCUUCCCCCUGUUCUGCAGUACACUUUGCAAUUCCCCACCACUAUGGCUUUCUCAUGCCAUCUCUUCCAGAAUGUUUUCUGCCUACUGAAAUACGACUUAUCCUUAAAGUCCUCUCUCAAAUGCUGCUUCCUCUCUAAAGCUUCUCUCACUGCCCCCGCCGGCUUUCCUAUCUCCCUCUUCUGAAAUCCUGGAGACCUUUGAUUCUAUCUUUUAUACAGUACUUAUUGCCAGGAUUGAGAUUUAGGAUAUUUAUCAACUGACCCCUUCCUGGAUUAUCAGCCCUGGGAGCACUCUCUGCCUUGUGGCAAAGUUGGUUCCACACCUUUUCAGCUCCUCUUCUAGCCUAGAAGCACCUUAAGGGCAGGGUGCCUCAUAUAUUUUUCCUCCAUGCAAAACAUAGGUUUUUGCACAUAGUAAACUUCACACAUCAUCAUCAUUAUUACUAUUACUAUUUUUGAGUCAAAGUCUCACUCUUGUCCCCCAGGCUGGAGUGCAAUGACGCAAUCUCUGCUCACUGCAACCUCCGCCUCCUGGGUUCAAGUGAUUCUCCUGCCUCAGCCUCCCGAGUAGCUGGGACUAC